This 206-nucleotide ribosomal RNA is filed under the name Pichia kudriavzevii. RNAcentral's name for it is "partial 26S ribosomal RNA". It matches the Rfam family "Eukaryotic large subunit ribosomal RNA", at positions 71 to 282 of the family's 3401-position model. Lineage: Eukaryota; Fungi; Ascomycota; Pichiomycetes; Pichiales; Pichiaceae. The record is from RNAcentral.
UUGCAUGCCUCAGUAGCGGCGAGUGAAGCGGCAAGAGCUCAGAUUUGAAAUCGUGCUUUGCGGCACGAGUUGUAGAUUGCAGGUUGGAGUCUGUGUGGAAGGCGGUGUCCAAGUCCCUUGGAACAGGGCGCCCAGGAGGGUGAGAGCCCCGUGGGAUGCCGGCGGAAGCAUGAGGCCCUUCUGACGAGUCGAGUUGUUUGGGAAUA